RNAcentral lists this ribosomal RNA (253 nucleotides) under uncultured bacterium. Its description in RNAcentral is "partial 16S ribosomal RNA". It matches the Rfam family "Bacterial small subunit ribosomal RNA", at positions 524 to 776 of the family's 1533-position model. The record is from RNAcentral.
GACGUAGGGCGCGAGCGUUGUCCGGAUUUAUUGGGCGUAAAGAGCUCGUAGGCGGCUUGUCGCGUCGAAUGUGAAAACCCGAGGCUCAACUUCGGGCUUGCAUUCGAUACAGGCAGGCUCGAGUUCGGUAGGGGAGACUGGAAUUCCUGGUGUAGCGGUGAAAUGCGCAGAUAUCAGGAGGAACACCGGUGGCGAAGGCGGGUCUCUGGGCCGAUACUGACGCUGAGGAGCGAAAGCGUGGGGAGCGAACAGG